CCUACGGGAGGCAGCAGUGGGGAAGUCUUGCGCAAUGGGCGAAAGCCUGACGCAGCCAUGCCGCGUGAAUGAUGAAGGUCUUAGGAUUGUAAAAUUCUUUCAGUAGGGACGAUAAUGACGGUACCUACAGAAGAAGCCCCGGCUAACUUCGUGCCAGCAGCCGCGGUAAUACGAAGGGGGCUAGCGUUGCUCGGAAUUACUGGGCGUAAAGGGGGCGUAGGCGGGUUAUCAAGUUGGAGGUGAAAGCCCCAGGGCUCAACCUUGGAAUUGCCUUCAAAACUGAUAGCCUAGAGUAUGAUAGAGGUAUGUGGAAACUCCGAGUGUAGAGGUGAAAUUCGUAGAUAUUCGGGAAGAACACCAGUUGGCGAGGACGACGAUACUAGGUCGUAUGUACGUAGACGCGUGAGGCGUCGAACGACGGUGGGUAGGACGAACGAAGAGUAGUAUACC
RNAcentral lists this ribosomal RNA (450 nucleotides) under uncultured bacterium. Its description in RNAcentral is "bacterial SSU rRNA". It matches the Rfam family "Bacterial small subunit ribosomal RNA", at positions 338 to 822 of the family's 1533-position model. The record is from RNAcentral.